Molecule: ribosomal RNA, 476 nt
Filed under: Cylindrotheca sp.
Lineage: Eukaryota; Bacillariophyta; Bacillariophyceae; Bacillariales; Bacillariaceae
Description: SSU rRNA
Rfam family: Eukaryotic small subunit ribosomal RNA
Source: RNAcentral
GACUGGCCGGAUGAGAAAUCUUUUUCGGUUCUCUCGGUCGCAGUGCAAAGCCGUUUUUAAGUGGCGGAAUGGCUCGUUUGGGUAAUUUCGAUAACGAACGAGAACCCAGCCUUCUAAAUAGGUUCCUUAGAGAAUUCAACGGGGUGAAUCUUCUGAGAGGGAGGCGCAUUCUAUUAGAUGCAGGAAGAUAGGGGCAAUACCAGGUCUGGGAUGCCUUUAGAUGUCGUGGGCCGCACGCGCGACACACUGACGCAUUCAAAGAGUUAUACCUUGGCCGAGAGGCCUGGGCAAUAUUUUGAACCUGCAUCGUGAUAGGGAUAGAUUAUUGCAAUUAUUAAUCUUGAACGAGGAAUUCCUAGUAAACGCAGAUCAUCAAUCUGCAUUGAUUACGUCCCUGCCCUUUGUACACACCGCCCGUCGCACCUACCGAUUGAAUGGUCCGGUGAAGCCUCGGGAUUGUGGCGAGUUCCCUUUAU